GGGGGUGGCCUGUGCAUUUAGCAGAGAGGGGUUAAAAGUUCUUCCCUCCAGUGAUGCCAGUUUGCCAAACACUCCUCCCCACCAUCGCUGAAGAAUCAGGACUGCUGACUGCCUGACUAGAAGAACUUCAAGCAAGGCCACUGGAGUGGCAACCAAAGGUGUCUCCAGAAGCUGCCACCUGUCACCCCAGUUGGGAACCACUACUCAAGCUACUCAGGCAUGGUUGCCUUUUGGGAAAUUGCAGUGAGCCUGCUAGUUCACAUGGAUGCAGCAGUGGAGACAAGGGGCCCAGGAGGUAGGAAGAUUGGAAAUUCACAGAAAUUAUGGAGAAGGAACGUGUGGAAAUGGUGUGUCCUGAAGUAUGUGCCCCGCCGGUGAUUAUGAGCUCUUGUUCAGCAGCAGGUGCAGAAGUCCUGGGCCAGGAGGUGAUAGAUGCUGUGUUUGGGCACAUCACUCACCUGUUGGACCACCUCAGUGUCCCUGUAGUUGAGACAGAGUGACAUGGCACCUGAGCUUGGUUUAAGAUGACAGGUAGAAGCACCUGGAAAAGAAAGGGCUCCCAGAACCGCUGGAUUUAGUGAUGGAGGAACUUGGAGGGGUCUGCUUCCAUCCUCUUGGAUUCAUGGAUUUUUCACUCAUGGAUAACUAAGGGAUGGAGAAUUCAGAUUUCCAGAAGAAGCACAUUCAUUUAAGGCAACUUGAAUUCAGAGGAAAUAAUUGAAAUUGUCUGCAAUUUACGUUUUCAUCAUCUUUACCUUGUGAUUCUAAUUCUGCCAACUGGAUUCACACAGAAGAAGCUGAUGUCCUGCAUCUGAUGCCCUUUCAGUACUGGAGCAGCUGUCCUGGUAUUUGUUCUCCCAGGAAAGAGUCAAAUGUGGCCCACCUUCUUCAGUAGAAGAAUCCGUAUAUUUCUAGUUGAAU
RNAcentral lists this long non-coding RNA (921 nucleotides) under Sus scrofa (pig). RNAcentral describes it as "lncRNA (ENSSSCG00025030423.1, ENSSSCG00035036527.1)". The record is from RNAcentral. Lineage: Eukaryota; Metazoa; Chordata; Mammalia; Artiodactyla; Suidae.